Molecule: ribosomal RNA, 248 nt
Filed under: uncultured Caldilineaceae bacterium
Lineage: Bacteria; Bacillati; Chloroflexota; Caldilineae; Caldilineales; Caldilineaceae
Description: partial 16S ribosomal RNA
Rfam family: Bacterial small subunit ribosomal RNA
Source: RNAcentral
CUAGCUGUAAACGAUGGAUACUAGGUGUGAGUGGUAUUGACCCCACUCGUGCCGAAGCCAACGCGUUAAGUAUCCCGCCUGGGGAGUACGACCGCAAGGUUAAAACUCAAAGGAAUUGACGGGGGCCCGCACAAGCAGCGGAGCGUGUGGUUUAAUUCGAUGCAACACGAAGAACCUUACCAGGGCUUGACAUGCACGUGGUAGUGAAGCGAAAGCGGAACGACCCUUCGGGGAGCGUGCACAGGUGC